Molecule: ribosomal RNA, 466 nt
Filed under: uncultured bacterium
Lineage: Bacteria
Description: bacterial SSU rRNA
Rfam family: Bacterial small subunit ribosomal RNA
Source: RNAcentral
CCUANGGGUGGCAGCAGUAGGGAAUUGUUCGCAAUGGGCGCAAGCCUGACGACGCAACGCCACGUGGAGGAUGAAGAUCUUCGGAUCGUAAACUCCUUUCGAUCGAGACGAAUGGCCUUCGGGUGAACAAUCCGGAGGAAUGACGGUACCGAGAGAAGAAGCCCCGGCUAACUCCGUGCCAGCAGCCGCGGUAAUACGGGGGGGGCAAGCGUUGUUCGGAAUUACUGGGCGUAAAGGGCUCGUAGGCUGCCAACUAAGUCAGACGUGAAAUCCCUCGGCUUAACCGGGGAACUGCGUCUGAUACUGGAUGGCUUGAGAUUGGGAGAGGGAUGCGGAAUUCCAGGUGUAGCGGUGAAAUGCGUAGAUAUCGGGAGGAACACCGGUGGCGAAGGCGGCAUCCUGGACCAACACUGACGCUGAGGAGCGAAAGCCAGGGGAGCAAACGGGAUUAGAUACCCGUNUANUC